RNAcentral lists this ribosomal RNA (433 nucleotides) under uncultured bacterium. Its description in RNAcentral is "partial 16S ribosomal RNA". It matches the Rfam family "Bacterial small subunit ribosomal RNA", at positions 29 to 507 of the family's 1533-position model. The record is from RNAcentral.
AACGAACGCUGGCGGCAUGCCUAACACAUGCAAGUCGAACGAUACCUUCGGGUCUAGUGGCGAACGGGUGCGUAACGCGUGGGAACCUGCCCUUAGGUUCGGAAUAACUCCCCGAAAGGGGUGCUAAUACCGGAUAAUGUCUUCGGACCAAAGAUUUAUCGCCUUUGGAUGGGCCCGCGUUGGAUUAGCUAGUUGGUAGGGUAAAAGCCUACCAAGGCGACGAUCCAUAGCUGGUCUGAGAGGAUGAUCAGCCACACUGGGACUGAGACACGGCCCAGAAUCCUACGGGAGGCAGCAGUGGGGAAUAUUGGACAAUGGGCGAAAGCAUGAUCCAGCAAUGCCGCGUGAGUGAUGAAGGCCUUAGGGUUGUAAAGCUCUUUUACACGGGAUGAUAAUGACAGUACCGGGAGAAUAAGCACCGGCUAACUACGUG